This 659-nucleotide long non-coding RNA is filed under the name Homo sapiens (human). Its description in RNAcentral is "HSALNT0302506". The record is from RNAcentral. Lineage: Eukaryota; Metazoa; Chordata; Mammalia; Primates; Hominidae.
UGGCCAGAGAGCAUUUUAGUAAGGAAAGAGGGCAAAAGACAGUGGUCCAGAACUCCUAACAUGGAGCUGAGCAUGUCGGUUAGGAUCCAGAGAACAGCCACGAAGCAGGAUUGACCCAAGUAUGGAAGCUAGAUAAAAAGUUUUAUUGGCCUCAGGCUGAAGUUUGCAAUUAUAUUCCAAAUACCCAAAGUGGGUAUAUUAUUGACGUUGUCCUGAGAGAGGGACAGACAGUUUGACUGUGUUGCUUUCUUUGGAGUCAGUUUUGGGGCUGUUAAGGAUUACCUGGAAACAUUAGAUGAAGCUGGGGCUGGACACUUCUUCUCAGGACAGAAGCACAUUCAUCUAAAUGGAAAUCUAAGGUUGGGAGGAUGCGAAGUGCCAUUUCAUCGUGUCCUAUCCGGAAUGCAUACUCUCAGCAUAACAGCACCAGUGCCAUACCUAGAGAGGCCUUUCCGAGUUACCCUAACACAAAAAGGUGUUUCCAGUCAUUCUCACAUCAGCCUUUUAGUUAUUUUUUCAGUACUUAUCACAACUGGGGAUUGUUGUCUUGUUGGACUGUUUGUCUGUUCCUCUAACUGGACUGUAAGCUUUAGGAGGGCAGAACUGUGUUUAUCUUGUUCACCUGUUUGUUCCCAGCACCUAGUACCCUGCCUGGCACA